This 497-nucleotide ribosomal RNA is filed under the name uncultured bacterium. RNAcentral's name for it is "partial 16S ribosomal RNA". It matches the Rfam family "Bacterial small subunit ribosomal RNA", at positions 28 to 507 of the family's 1533-position model. The record is from RNAcentral.
GAUGAACGCUGGCGGCGUGCCUAAUACAUGCAAGUCGAACGCUUAGUUCCUGACGUGUGCUUGCACUCAAUUGGAGAGAGGAGGGGAGGACGGGUGAGUAAAACGUGGGUAAAGUAUGCAUCAGAGGCGGGUAACACUAGGAAACAGGUGAUAAUAUAGUAUAACAGUUUGUGCAGCAUGGAAUAAGAGUGAAAGUGUCUUUCGGGUGUGGUUCCGCGCCGCAUUAGCUAGUUGGUAAGGUAACGGCUAAGCAAGGCCACGAUGCAUAGCCGACCUGAGAGGGUGAUCGGCCACACUGGAACUGAGACACGGCCCAGACUCCUACGGGAGGCAGCAGUAGGGAAUCUUCGGCAAUGGACGAAAGCUUGACCGAGCAACGCCGCGUGAGUGAAGAAGGUUUUCGGAUCGUAAAACUCUGUUGUUAGAGAAGAACAAGUACGUUAGUAACUAUACACGCCUUGACGGUACCUAACCAGAAAGCCACGGCUAACUACGUG